GACGAACGCUGGCGGCGUGCUUAACACAUGCAAGUCGAACGGAAAGGCCCUGCUUUUGUGGGGUGCUCGAGUGGCGAACGGGUGAGUAACACGUGAGUAACCUGCCCUUGACUUUGGGAUAACUUCAGGAAACUGGGGCUAAUACCGGAUAGGAGCUCCUGCUGCAUGGUGGGGGUUGGAAAGUUUCGGCGGUUGGGGAUGGACUCGCGGCUUAUCAGCUUGUUGGUGGGGUAGUGGCUUACCAAGGCUUUGACGGGUAGCCGGCCUGAGAGAGUGACCGGCCACAUUGGGACUGAGAUACGGCCCAGACUCCUACGGGAGGCAGCAGUGGGGAAUAUUGCACAAUGGGUGGAAGCCUGAUGCAGCAACGCCGCGUGCGGGAUGACGGCCUUCGGGUUGUAAACCGCUUUCGCCUGUGACGAAGCGUGAGUGACGGUAAUGGGUAAAGAAGCACCGGCUAACUACGUG
RNAcentral lists this ribosomal RNA (468 nucleotides) under uncultured bacterium. Its description in RNAcentral is "partial 16S ribosomal RNA". It matches the Rfam family "Bacterial small subunit ribosomal RNA", at positions 28 to 507 of the family's 1533-position model. The record is from RNAcentral.